GAUGAACGCUGGCGGCGUGCCUAAUACAUGCAAGUCGAGCGAACAGACGAGGAGCUUGCUCCUCUAACGUUAGCGGCGGACGGGUGAGUAACACGUGGAUAACCUACCUAUAAGACUGGGAUAACUUCGGGAAACCGGAGCUAAUACCGGAUAAUAUAUUGAACCGCAUGGUUCAAUAGUGAAAGACGGUUUUGCUGUCACUUAUAGAUGGAUCCGCGCCGCAUUAGCUAGUUGGUAAGGUAACAGCUUACCAAGGCAACGAUGCGUAGCCGACCUGGAAGGGUGAUCGGCCACACUGGAACUGAGACACGGUCCAGACUCCUACGGGGGGAAGCAGUAGGGAAUCUUCCGCAAUGGGCGAAAGCCUGACGGAGCAACGCCGCGUGAGUGAUGAAGGUCUUCGGAUCGUAAAACUCUGUUAUUAGGGAAGAACAAAUGUGUAAGUAACUAUGCACGUCUUGACGGUACCUAAUCAGAAAGCCACGGCUAACUACGUG
Molecule: ribosomal RNA, 497 nt
Filed under: uncultured bacterium
Lineage: Bacteria
Description: partial 16S ribosomal RNA
Rfam family: Bacterial small subunit ribosomal RNA
Source: RNAcentral